This is a long non-coding RNA of Mytilus trossulus (common blue mussel), 220 nucleotides long. RefSeq lists it as uncharacterized. The transcript has 3 exons. Lineage: Eukaryota; Metazoa; Mollusca; Bivalvia; Mytilida; Mytilidae. The record is from RefSeq and is a predicted model, not a curated record.
AGAGGUAAAUACUGCUGCUCAUACUUUCAAGAGAAAAAUGGGAAAUGCGUUGCUUGUAAAGUUGGAUUUACAUCUCGAUUUGGCAGCCCCUGUUUACCAUGUAAUCAGAAUUCAUACGGGGAAAGAUGUAUUCAUAAAUGUAAAUGCACCAAUGACAGUUUUAGAUGCGAUAAUGUCAUUGGUUGUGUGCAGAAGCUACAUAGCACUACUCAAAGUAUAG